This 459-nucleotide ribosomal RNA is filed under the name uncultured bacterium. Its description in RNAcentral is "partial 16S ribosomal RNA". It matches the Rfam family "Bacterial small subunit ribosomal RNA", at positions 339 to 795 of the family's 1533-position model. The record is from RNAcentral.
CUACGGGUGGCACCAGUAAGGAAUAUUGCGCAAUGGAGGCAACUCUGACGCAGCCAUACCGCGUGCAGGAAGAAGGCCUUAUGGGUCGUAAACUGCUUUUAUUUAGGAAUAAACCCCCGAACGUGUUCGGGGCUGAAGGUACUAAACGAAUAAGCACCGGCUAACUCCGUGCCAGCAGCCGCGGUAAUACGGAGGGUGCAAGCGUUAUCCGGAUUUAUUGGGUUUAAAGGGUGCGCAGGCGGGCUAUUAAGUCAGUGGUGAAAUCCCGGGGCUCAACUCCGGAACUGCCAUUGAUACUGAUAGUCUUGAGUUUGGUUGAAGUGGGCGGAAUGUAGCAUGUAGCGGUGAGAUGCAUAGAUAUGCUACAGAACACCAAUCGCGAAGGCAGCUCACUAAGCCAAAACUGACGCUCAUGCACGAAAGCGUGGGGAUCAAACAGGAUUAGAUACCCCUGUAGUC